This 428-nucleotide ribosomal RNA is filed under the name uncultured Chlamydiae bacterium. RNAcentral's name for it is "bacterial SSU rRNA". It matches the Rfam family "Bacterial small subunit ribosomal RNA", at positions 958 to 1385 of the family's 1533-position model. Lineage: Bacteria; Pseudomonadati; Chlamydiota; Chlamydiia. The record is from RNAcentral.
AACGCGAAGAACCUUACCUGGGCUCGAAAUGUAGAGGACGAUUACAGAGAUGUAAUUUCCCGAAAGGGUCUCUAUAUAGGUGCUGCAUGGCUGUCGUCAGCUCGUGCCGUGAGGUGUUUGGUUAAGUCCAGCAACGAGCGCAACCCUUAUCGUUAGUUGCCAGCGCGUAAAGGCGGGAACUCUAACGAGACUGCCUGGGUUAACCAGGAGGAAGGUGAGGAUGACGUCAAGUCCGCAUGGCCUUUAUGUCCAGGGCUACACACGUGCUACAAUGGUCGGUACAGAAGGCAGCGAAACCGCAAGGCGGAGCAAAUCCUGAAAAACCGAUCUCAGUUCAGAUUGUAGUCUGCAACUCGACUACAUGAAGUUGGAAUUGCUAGUAAUGGCGUGUCAGCAACAACGCCGUGAAUACGUUCCCGGGCCUUGUA